GUCGUGCUAAGUAACAAGAGCUUGUAACCCAAGUGAGGGCAUGAAGGUGAUGGAACAACUUUGUGGCUCCCUAGUUUGAGUUGUGGAUGGUAAAAACUGGCUUGUCCGUUCGAAGUUGAGAGUUGGGUGAUGGGACUUAUGCGAAGGCAUAGGUGUCAUCUCCCUUAGACAAGAAGGAACUGCGUGAGGCUGGUUUCACAGAAUAGUGGAGGGAUAACAAGCAUCCUCCCUCCACAGAAUAACUCGUGUUGCCACCCUUGCUUGGACCCUCUCUUUU
Molecule: signal recognition particle RNA, 277 nt
Filed under: Vigna angularis (adzuki bean)
Lineage: Eukaryota; Viridiplantae; Streptophyta; Magnoliopsida; Fabales; Fabaceae
Also listed under: 1 other name
Description: SRP RNA Plant_SRP
Rfam family: Plant signal recognition particle RNA
Source: Rfam by way of RNAcentral